RNAcentral lists this transfer RNA (92 nucleotides) under Candidatus Aminicenantota bacterium. RNAcentral describes it as "Candidatus Aminicenantes bacterium tRNA-Sec". It matches the Rfam family "Selenocysteine transfer RNA". The record is from RNAcentral. Lineage: Bacteria; Candidatus Aminicenantota.
UAGAGAGGACGGGUCUGGUGGCCCAACUGGUCUUCAAAACCAGCAGCGGGCGGAUAAAACCGUCCGCGGCAGGUUCGAUUCCUGCCCUCUCA